This 897-nucleotide long non-coding RNA is filed under the name Anas platyrhynchos platyrhynchos (common mallard). Its description in RNAcentral is "lncRNA (ENSAPLG00000028929.1)". The record is from RNAcentral. Lineage: Eukaryota; Metazoa; Chordata; Aves; Anseriformes; Anatidae.
UCUGAGCCCUGCCUGUGCUGGGUCCCUCUGGCACAGUCUGGGUUUUGUUUCUGUCCCAGUGGGGAGAGGAAAAGGGCUGAUGGCCACGUGGAGUGCAAACCCAUUCCCUCUUGCAGCUCUGAGCUGCAGCCUCGGUCUGUACACAGCCCUACAGCCAGCAUGGGGACAGGACCUCCUGCUGUUUGGCUCAGGAUUUGUUUUUAAGUAGAAACAAAUGACAGCAUGGCAAAGGAGGAGAAGACAACAGUAGGAAAGUGAUAGGUUUUACUUCAGAAAAAAAGGAACUGCUUCAAGCAGUAUUUUGAUCCUGCUUUUACCCAGGCUUGUGGGAUGAGGACAGCAGCUCUCUGGUCCCUGUCAAACUGCCUGCUGAUGGGUUCUCUGUUGAGAAGGCUUAUGCUUUUUUUAACAUCUGAUAAGGCUUUCCUGUAUUUACGUAUCGUGUUGGUGUAAUUAGUUAACUAAAACUCUUUUAAAAUCUGAUAUAAUGACACGAGCAGCUGGCUUUAUGCAGGUGAACUGUCUGCCUUCCUGAAGUUACUGCAGCACACGUGACAGAGGACACGAGAAGCAGACAAGGCUGACAGUGCCAACUGCACCUGGAAAUGUUGCUUGUGUCGCUCUGCAGCUGAUUUCCAGUGGAGACAGUUGCCAUGAUUUCCUGUUCCCCUUGAUAUGGGCUAAUUGAGGAUUUUAGCAAGCAUGUCCUUCCUUGUGGAGCAGAAGCCUGACCUUGGCGUUGACAUUGGCUUAAAAGUAUUUUUAUAUUCACCAAUAUUUAUAUUCAAGGCUGCAGAACCAAAUACUGUUAUGCUGUGUGAAGAGAUCUCAGCAAAGGGACACGAGUUAAAGAGGAACGAUUACACUGUAAAAAGUCAUAAAACCUUCCAGGAUUAA